AGAUAGUAAAAAUAGUCCCUAAGGGUCGCAACAAGUCGGCACAAGGCCCCAAACAUGGCAUACAACCCAAAAAUAUAAUAAUGUCAAACAAUUAACUAUCAAAUACGCAUUAAAAUAUUCAUUCGGCAUGGACUAGGUCACAAUCCCCAGUAGUGCUCUACCCCACACUCGUCAUCUAGCAUGCAAGUCACCUCAAAGUAACACAACGACGUAUAAUCCGGGGUUUCAAACCCUCAGGAUAGUAUUUAUAAUCAUUACUUACCUCGAACCGGUGAAAUCUCUAGCUCGCGAUGCCUUUGACCCUCAAAUUGGCCUCCACGCGCAUCGAAUCUAUCCAAAAUCACACAAACAUUGAUGAAGCUCGAUUUCUAAAAGACGGGGUUUAGCCAUACAUAUCUGGGACUUGCCCUUUAAUGGUACAACAAUGAUCCACUACUCUUAGGUAACUUCAAUCUACAAUACAACAAUCAAUAGAGCUAAUAUUAGUAAUAAUUCCCAUAACUUAUGCCAUUUAGGCCUAUUAUCAAACAUCUUGUAGGCAUAGAUAUUUAUACCUCAUAACUAUAGUAUUGGUUCCUCCAUCACUAUUAACCAACAAUUUCAACCCACCAUUAGUCUUUAACAAUUUAUGCUCCUAACAUCACAUGAGUGAUCAAUCAUUCACACCCAACCAACAAAAUUCCAUCAACUAAUCACCUUUAAAUCCCUACCAUGAUCAUGUAUUUAAAUUGGAAAUUUAUGGCCUCCAAUCACCAUACCCCAAGUUCUAAUGUAUAUAUCAUACAUAAAUAAUCACCAUAGAGUAGUUGGAGAUGAUAGACAUACCUCUUGUAGUACGAAUUUUAAGAAUCCCCACUUGUGGUGUUCUUGAUAAAUUCAAGGAUUUGAAGGAAAAUCUAAGGAUUUUCAAGAUCAAUUCGUGUUAAUAUAAGUGUUUAGGAGUAGUAAUCAACUCAAAAUACCCCAAAAAUCUUACCUUGGAUCAUAGAAAUGAUGAGUGGGACGGAUUCCUCUUGAGAGAGCAAGCCCUUGCUCCAAAAAUAACUUGGGAACUCUCUAUACCCGGUCUUGGGGUAUUUAGGGGCCUGCUACUAGCGCGGUUGUGCACCUGGGCGCGCUAAAGUAGCGCGACGAAGGCAGAAAACUUCGCAAUAUGUGAGUUCACUAGCGCAAUUGCGCAUCUGGGCGCUCUAGAGACAUAUGCCCAGUAAAAUGGUCAUAACUUUCUGUUUACACCUCAAAAUGACGAAUGGUUUGUUGCAUCGGAAACUAGACCCAAAGGGAUGUAAUUUGAUAGUUUGUGGAUCACACAACUCCUUAUAUAACUGGAUAUAUGAUUGUCCAAAGUUAGGUCUUGUGCGCACUCAUUUACAACUUUCGUCUAUUAUGAAAUUUUCCAACCUCAAAAGUUCCCGUUAGCCAUCCGAAAUCACCCCGAGGCCCGCGGGACCUCAACCAAAAGCACUAACGUAUCUUUAAACAUCAUCCAAACUUGUUCCAAUCAUCACAACGAUGCAACUAACACAAAAAUUAUCGAAUUCAAGCCUAAGUUCUUUUAAAACUUCUAAAAUACGCAUUCGAUCAAAAACCCAACCAAACCACGUCGGAAUGACCUGAAAUUUUGCACACACAUCCCAAAUCACCUAACGAAGCACAACAACUCUCGGAAUUCUAUUUCGACCCUCGGAUCAAAAUCUCACCCAUCAACCGAAAAUCACCAAAAUACUAACUUCGCCAAUUCAAGCCUAAUUCUAUACCGGACCUCCAAAAUCACUUCCGAUCACGCUCCUAGGUCAUAAAUCACCCAACGAAACUAUCCAAAUCAUAAAAUUUCCGAUCCAAGCUCAUAUACAAAUAAGUCAACCUUUCAAAUUCAAAGAUUUCAACUGAGACUGUUCCUUCAAAUUCAUUCCGAUUUUUCCUGAAAACCAAAACCAACAAUCUACAUCAGUCAUAAUAUGUUACACGGGGCAAGUCAUGCCCGGGAACUUGCGAUCAAAGUACAAAAUUUCAAAAUGACCGGUCAGGUCGUUACAGAAGGACACUUCAAAUGGCUAGUAAUGCCGUUCGGGCUAAAAACAGCUCCACCAAUUUUUCAACGAAAAAUGGAUAGUAUAUUUGGAGAAUAUAAGAGAUUUGUUUUAGUAUAUGUAGAUGAUAUACUAGUAUUUAGUAAAGAUAUUAAAGAACAUUUAGGAAAUUUACAGACAGUAUUUAGAUUAUUUGUAGAUAAUGGAAUAAUAAUUAGUAAAAAGAAGAUGGAACUAUGUAAGAAUUAUAUAAAUUUUCUAGGAGUAAUAUUAGGGGAUGGAAAAAUUAAAUUACAACCCCAUGUAGCUAAAAAGGCCCUAGAAAUGCCAGAUAAAUUAGAUAGUACCAAAGAGCUACAAAAGUUUUUGGGAAUAGUAAAUUAUACCAGAAAAUUUAUUAAAGACUUAGGAAAAAUAGCAGGACCAUUAUAUGCUAAGACAGGAGCUACAGGACAAAAAUAUUUUAAUACAGAAGACAUUAAAUUAGUACAAAAAUUAAAGAAAAAUAAAAAAUAUUCCUAAUCUAAAUAUGCCACUAGAAACAAACUACUUGAUAAUAUAAAUAGACGAUAGUUUUGAAGGAUGGGGAGCAGUUCUAAAAGCAAAACCAAAUAAAUAUAGUGAUAAGAUAAUAAAAAAAAUAUGUGCUUAUCAAAGUGGUAAAUAUAAAGAUAAAGGAAAUGUGAGUAGUAUAGAUGCAGAGAUAUUAGCUGUAAUUUAAGGAUUAAAUAGUUAUAAAUUANNNNNNNNNNNNNNNNNNNNNNNNNAUGUACAACAUGAGACUAACAAUUUCCAAGACUGAAGACAAAGGGAAGGGCAUUCAAGCCUCACCCUCAUACAGAUACUUGCAGACAGUAUUAGGUAAUCUUCAUUUUAAGCCACAUCCUUUGGGAGAACAGACCAAUAUUGAAAGAAAAAUUUUGGAAAACAUAAUUUAAUAUUUUUUCCACCAUCAAACAUGUCAUUUAGAGUCUUACCAGAAUGUGUCAUAGACAGACCUCAACGGUGUUUAAUUGAUAACUUAUGGAUAGCAUAUAAUAAGAAAUACACUAAAUAUUUUAUAGCGUCUCUUAAUGCCUUAGGACAAUAUUUUACAGAUAAAAACCAAGACAAAAGAUUUAAGUAUUAUGUGGUUAUACAUGGUAAGAUAAAUGAUAUUUUUCAGACAUGGUUAGAAGUACUAGAUUCCAUUAAGGAUAUAGAAAAACCACUUUUCAAGGGUUUUAAUGAUUUUACUGAAGCAUUAGAUUAUGCAAGAGAAAUACUAGGACCAAACUACUAUAUUUCCCCAGCACUCAGACAAAACCCAGAAAAACCCCUCAAUACAAUAUCUGAAAAGACAAUGAUAAGAUAAUAUUCUGUGAUCAUUGUUCAUCAAUGACAGAAGCCUUUAAACGAAUAAACCAGAAAAAUGAAACCCUGGCACAAGAGAAGACAAAACUUAUGGAGCAGGUAAAGGUAUUGAAACACAGGGUACAAGCGUUAAAAUUUGAACUAUCCCAGACUCAAGUUAUUUCUCAACAAGAUACAAAGAUGAACAGUCCAAAACAGAGUUCUUCAUCCUAAACAAAAAUGGAUGAGAAGGGUGUGCAUUCCCCAAUGAAUGCAGCUAGAUCCACUAUAUCAGAUAAUGAUAUAGCUAGUCCGGUUCAAACGGUAAUAGGUAAAGACACAACAAAUCCGUUUAUGGCUGUCACAUUGCCAAAAAGUGAAGAUGAAGGUUCAUCGAGAAGAAGACUACCUAGAACAUUAACUCCCAGACAUUAGAAAACUUUUUUCUAGACAAGGAAGAAUAAGACAAACACAUGGUUAAGAAUCCAAGUCCAAGAUCAAGUCUAAAUCUAAGUCCAAAUCCAGAAAAGACCCAAAGUUCAGGAGAAGAUGAUAACUAUGAAGACAACAUAAAUUAUCAAGAUGCUCAAGAUCCAUAUGAAGAUGAGUCAGAAAUGAGUUUCGAUUCAAUAGCUAUACAUAAUUUAAACACAUAAAAGCAAAGUCCCAGUUAAACAACAAUUAAAGAGCACCAAAGACAAAGGAAAUAAGGUUGGUAUAUAGAGCAAUAAUGAUAGCAUACCAAUGAGAAAAACAAGAAGGAAAAGAAUAUGUGACAGAGAAAUGCUAGAUGUGCUAAAAGACAAAAGUGACAAGCGAUAUAAAGUAAAGAAGAUGUGACAAGAGGUAAUGUUAGUUGUGCUAAAAGACAAGUUAAAAUUUUGAGUGGAAGAAAAAGUUACAAACACGGAAGGAAUCUCCGACCAAGCCAUGUGAAGAUGAGGCCCAAUGAAGUAUCCUGCAAGGCUUGACAAGAUAGAAUUCAGAAGAGUUUGUAAUCCGUUUUUCAAAUCCGUCCCAAAAUUUAGCUAUAAAAAGUAGAAGAAAGCAGAAGAAAAACAAGACCGAAGAGAAGAAAAACACUCUGAAGAAAACCCAUCCAACCAAACUUUUCAUCAUNN
RNAcentral lists this long non-coding RNA (4483 nucleotides) under Nicotiana tabacum (common tobacco). Its description in RNAcentral is "long non-coding RNA (NTAB_LNC000260)". Lineage: Eukaryota; Viridiplantae; Streptophyta; Magnoliopsida; Solanales; Solanaceae. The record is from RNAcentral.